This is a long non-coding RNA of Prunus dulcis (almond), 778 nucleotides long. RefSeq lists it as uncharacterized. The record is from RefSeq and is a predicted model, not a curated record. Lineage: Eukaryota; Viridiplantae; Streptophyta; Magnoliopsida; Rosales; Rosaceae. The transcript is spliced from 2 exons.
UCUUUCUGUUCUGGUUUUUUUUUUUUUUUCCUUUCCUCAAUUGUGAGGAGAGAUCCAGUAACCAACUGGCUUCAUUGCCACCAUUUUUCUGUGGGUCUCCACCAAGCAGGGCAUCAUACCCUGUAAUCCAAGAUGAGCAAUUUGGCAAUAGUAGCAAGAUGGCUCCAUUUUUUUCCAGCACCGCCAUCUUCAUUGUCUGAGCGCAACGAAGGGUGUGUUCGAAUGAAAAUGAACUACGCCAACUCAACAAAGCUCAAGCGAUUUCUAGACACCCCAAAACAUCAUUAGCAACUACUACGAAUUGGACUCAGAUGGCGAAGAGAGAUGGUUCUAGGUUAUGUUGGUGGCUGGGAUAGUUCUGAGAAGAAAUCUAGGAUGGAGCGCUGGGCACUGUGUUUCGUCGAUUGGAUCUGUGGUGGGGUUAAGCGAUAAGGAAGUCGGACUCGCGUGUUCAAAACAACAAGCGUCCUAUUUUGCGAACCCAAUUUUGGGUUCACUAUAUUAGCUGUACGAGUCGGGCUUUUUUUAACUAUUGGACAAUAUAAUCUCAUUUAAGAUAAUCAUCUCCCUUACUAAACAUGGGUUUCAAAUAUUAUUUAAUCCAAUCCAGUCCAGUGAGGCAUAAUGAAGCAUACCAAAUAGUAGUAGAGAUUUACUUCAUAUUGUAAUUUAGAUAUAUUUUCUAUUUUAUUUAGAGUUAAUAUAUCUUUGUACUUGUAUAAAUACCUCUAUAUUUGAGAAAAAUAAUAAUAUGAGUGAAUAUGAGCAUAAUUGAAUA